CAUGCAAAUUGUGCAUUAUUUGAAAUAGCGUAAAACAUUGUCUAAGGGAUAGCGGUGCAUGGAUAAAAAAUAUCCGUGCAAGAUGAAGUAGUUACCGAAAACUGGCUAAAUUCAUGACAACGCGGGCUUACGUCUUGAGUUUUCAUGUAUUUUGUGUUUCUAUGGGAGCGUACCGAACUCGGUUCCAGUCGGUUGGUUAGUUCCGGUCGGCAGCGGCGUAGCCAGCUCGAUAAUUAGGGGAACCAUAUUGAUAUAUUCGCGUUCUGCAUUAUUAAUUUAUUUUGAAAUCGAUUGUUUUUAAGGUCUGUGAAGACGAAUAUAUGAAUAUGACACACACAUCCCCCCCCCCCCCCCAAUAAANNNNNNNNNNNNNNNNNNNNACCCCCCCCCCCCCGAAUUAUCGAGCUGGCUACGCCGCUGCUGGCCGGAACCCUCUGCUCACUGAAUGGAUUUUGCGUUGUUAAUUAAGGCUGGUAACCGCUGGUAGGUUAUAAAGCCCCUGGCAAAGUUAUUGAACAUCGUUCCUACAAGCACUACCAAAAGAAUGACUUUAUUUGAGUAAAGCUUUGAAUAAAGAAAGUUAUUGAAUAUCGUUCCUACAAGCACUACCAAAAGAAUGACUUUAUUUGAACAGCUCUUGAGAGCUGUAUCAAGCUGAUUGGAGCAUUGAUAAGUCGAAUAUUCACUCAACAGUCU
This 696-nucleotide long non-coding RNA is filed under the name Paramuricea clavata. The record is from RNAcentral. Lineage: Eukaryota; Metazoa; Cnidaria; Anthozoa; Malacalcyonacea; Plexauridae.